This 234-nucleotide ribosomal RNA is filed under the name uncultured bacterium. RNAcentral's name for it is "partial 16S ribosomal RNA". It matches the Rfam family "Bacterial small subunit ribosomal RNA", at positions 99 to 334 of the family's 1533-position model. The record is from RNAcentral.
CGGACGGGUGAGUAACGCGUGGGUAACCUGCCUUGUACUGGGGGACAACAGUUGGAAACGACUGCUAAUACCGCAUAAGCGCACAGCUCGCAUGAAGCAGUGUGAAAAACUCCGGUGGUACAAGAUGGACCCGCGUCUGAUUAGCUGGUUGGUGAGGUAACGGCCCACCAAGGCGACGAUCAGUAGCCGGCCUGAGAGGGUGAACGGCCACAUUGGGACUGAGACACGGCCCAA